GACCCUAUAAAGUUUAUACAUGGAGUUAAUCAAGAGUGAUUUGGAAUAGUAAAGUUCAUUAUUAGCAAGAUGUUUAGUUGGGGUGACUAGAAUAUAAGUUAUAUAACUGUUUUUUGUUUUAAUCAGAGAUAUCUGUUUAUAUGGUCCCUUUUUAGGAUUAGAGAGUAAAUUACUUUAGGGAUAACAGCGUAAUUUUUUUUAAGAGUUCUUAUCGACAAAAGAGUUUGCGAC
This 231-nucleotide ribosomal RNA is filed under the name Cherax pallidus. Its description in RNAcentral is "partial 16S ribosomal RNA". The record is from RNAcentral. Lineage: Eukaryota; Metazoa; Arthropoda; Malacostraca; Decapoda; Parastacidae.